UUCAAAUUUUUAUUUAUAUUUAAUUUUAAUAAUGAGUUUUAAUUUGAACUUUAAAUUUAAAUUUAAAAUUUUACUUUAAAUUACGAGUAUAAGUCGUUUGUUUAUAUUUUCACAUCUUUAAAUAUAAUUAAAGAAUCAAAAUUAUAAAAUUAUAGUUUUCAUGUUUUACUUUAUAGCCAAUAAAACAAUCGAAUUAAAAAGUUAGCUUUUAUAAAAGUCACAUUUACAAAAAAAUAAAUUUUUAUUUUUUGAGAAAAAGGUAGCACGCUACUCGCUUCAUUCAUUCAGGAUAUGAACUUAGUUACAUAGGUGAGGCAACAAGGCCUCUAAAGAGAUGAAAAGUCGGACAAAGACAAAAAUAAAAAUAAAAAUAAAAAUAAAAUAAUAAUAAUAAUAAAAAUAAAAAUAAAAAAAAAUUAUUGUCUCUCUAUAGGGUGAAGUUUUCUCCACAAAGACGUCGGCCGUUUAACUUUAUGCCCAAAGAGAAAAAAAA
This 493-nucleotide long non-coding RNA is filed under the name Ananas comosus (pineapple). RNAcentral's name for it is "long non-coding RNA (ACOM_LNC005627)". The record is from RNAcentral. Lineage: Eukaryota; Viridiplantae; Streptophyta; Magnoliopsida; Poales; Bromeliaceae.